This 269-nucleotide ribosomal RNA is filed under the name uncultured Planctomycetales bacterium. RNAcentral's name for it is "partial 16S ribosomal RNA". It matches the Rfam family "Bacterial small subunit ribosomal RNA", at positions 567 to 832 of the family's 1533-position model. Lineage: Bacteria; Pseudomonadati; Planctomycetota; Planctomycetia; Planctomycetales. The record is from RNAcentral.
AAGCACGUAGGUGGGUUUGUAAGUCAGAUGCGAAAGCCUUCUGUUCAACGAAAGAAUUGCAUCUGAAACUGCGAGUCUUGAGUAUAGGAGGGGAGAAUGGAACUUCUGGUGGAGCGGUGAAAUGCGUAGAUAUCAGAAGGAACGCCGGCGGCGAAAGCGAUUCUCUGGCCUAUUACUGACACUCAGUGUGCGAAAGCUAGGGGAGCAAACGGGAUUAGAUACCCCGGUAGUCCUAGCCGUAAGCGAUGGGCACUAAGUAGAGGGGUUUU